UACGUAGGUGACAGGCGUUGUCCGGGUUUACGGGGCGGAAAGAGCGCGCAGGCGGUCGAUCAAGUCGAGUGUGAAAUCCCCCGGCUCAACUGGGGAGGGUCACUCGAUACUGAUCGACUCGAAGGCAGGAGAGGGUAGUGGAAUUCCCGGUGUAGUGGUGAAAUGCGUAGAUAUCGGGAGGAACACCAGUGGCGAAGGCGACUACCUGGCCUGUUCUUGACGCUGAGGCGCGAAAGCUAGGGGAGCAAACGGG
This 253-nucleotide ribosomal RNA is filed under the name uncultured bacterium. RNAcentral describes it as "partial 16S ribosomal RNA". It matches the Rfam family "Bacterial small subunit ribosomal RNA", at positions 524 to 776 of the family's 1533-position model. The record is from RNAcentral.